This 524-nucleotide ribosomal RNA is filed under the name Miyakella nepa. Its description in RNAcentral is "partial 16S ribosomal RNA". It matches the Rfam family "Bacterial large subunit ribosomal RNA", at positions 1819 to 2596 of the family's 2925-position model. Lineage: Eukaryota; Metazoa; Arthropoda; Malacostraca; Stomatopoda; Squillidae. The record is from RNAcentral.
GUCCAUAUGUUUAAUUAGCUUUAUAUGGUCUGGCCUGCUCACUGAUAUUUAAAUUAAAGAGCCGCGGUAUUUUGACCGUGCGAAGGUAGCAUAAUAAUUAGUCUCCUAAUUAGAGGCUUGUAUGAAUGGUCGGACAAGAUGGAAUCUGUCUCAACACAAUAAAUAAAAUUUAAUAACUAAGUAAAAAAGCUUAGAUAAAAUGGAGGGACGAUAAGACCCUAUAAAGCUUUAUGGUAUUUUUCUUUCUUAUAAAUUGUAUUGUUAUUAACUUAUUUUAGAAUUUUUAUCAUUUUACUGGGGCGGUAAAAGUAUAAUUAGAUUAACUGCUUUUGUUUUAAAUAACAAUUUUAGUUGGAAAUAAAUUGAUCCCAUUAUUAAUGAUCAUAAGAACCAAGUUACUUUAGGGAUAACACGCGUAAUUUUUUUUGAGAGUUCUCAUCGAAAAAAAAGUUUGCGACCUCGAUGUUGAAUUAAGGUUACCUUAAGGUGCAGCAGUUUAAAGGUAGAUCUGUCGAUUUAAUCCU